UACGUAGGGUGCGAGCGUUGUCCGGAAUUAUUGGGCGUAAAGAGCUCGUAGGCGGCUUGUCGCGUCGGUUGUGAAAGCCCGGGGCUUAACUCCGGGUCUGCAGUCGAUACGGGCAGGCUAGAGUGUGGUAGGGGAGAUCGGAAUUCCUGGUGUAGCGGUGAAAUGCGCAGAUAUCAGGAGGAACACCGGUGGCGAAGGCGGAUCUCUGGGCCAUUACUGACGCUGAGGAGCGAAAGCGUGGGGAGCAAACAGG
This 253-nucleotide ribosomal RNA is filed under the name uncultured bacterium. Its description in RNAcentral is "partial 16S ribosomal RNA". It matches the Rfam family "Bacterial small subunit ribosomal RNA", at positions 524 to 776 of the family's 1533-position model. The record is from RNAcentral.